CGAAAAACCCCGGACAAUUUUCCCGCUUCACACAUUAUAGGUCACGUGAUCAUUUGAGCACAGAAAAGACCAGUUUAGCAGGGAACGUCGCACGGCGAAGAUGGAAGGUGUGUUAAUAUUGCGUCAUUUGAUUUUUUCAGGUAUGUUCAGUACUGGAAGAAGAAGAAGAUGAAGAAAAGAAGAAGAUAAAGAAGAAGAUGAAGAAAAAGAAGAAGCCUGUUUAGGAGGGAGAGUUGCACGGCGAAGAUGGAAGAAAUGGCGUGCAGGUAUGUACAGUACUGGAAGAAGAAGUAGAAGAAGAAGAAGACUGUUUAGGAGGGAGGGUUGCACGGCGAAGAUGGUAGAAAUGGCGUGCAGGUAUGUACUGUACUGGAAGAAGAAGUAGAAGAAGAAAAAGAAGAAGCCUGUUUAGGAGGGAGGGUUGCACGGCGAAGAUGGAAGAAAUGGCGUGCAGGUAUGUACAGUACUGGAAGAAGAAAUAGAAGAAGAAAAAGAAUAAGCCUGUUUAGGAGGGAGAGUUGCACAGCGAAGAUGGGAGAAAUGGCGUGCAGGUGUGUUGAUAUUUUCAUUGUACUUUAUUGUGUCAUUUGAUUUUUUCAUUUUUCAUGUAUUGAAUGCCUUUGUUAUAUGACUGUUUAUUUUUAUUUUGAUGAUUUGUAUAUAUAAUUGCUCCUGAUAAAUGAGACACCUGGCUGUUUUACCUCGCCCCCACAUGACUUGCUAGUUAUCGUGUUGAUGAAAUAUGGUUGAUGUUUAAUUUGACGAUCUCGAUUGGCCAGUCUGACCAGCCGCGUGACAUAACAUACUUCGGUGUUUUUUGUUUAUUUUUUUUAUUGAUUAUUGACAAACUCUCCCGCCGCGUUCUGAUUAUUAAUACAUGUAUUUUGUGCAUGUCAAACAGGUUUAUUUAUAAAUAUAUAAAAGGAUGUAUGUUUAAAAAAAAUGUGUAUACAAAAUUUGUAUGAAAAUUGGUAUAAAAAUUGGAUAUAAAAAUGUUUUUGGUCGCUCGGUGAUAUAUGUUAAAUGCAUAAUGGGUAUUAAAUGCAUAAUGGGUAUUAAAUGCAAAAAAAGGAGUGGACAAAUCGCAAACAAUAGUUUAACUGUAAACAUGUCAAAGAAGGUUUUUUUAAAUAUGUACAAAUGUAAAAUAAUGAGUUUCAAAAAAUGUGUAUAAGACUGUGUAUGAAAUGUGUAUCAAAAAUGUUAUAAAGAAUGGGUGUAUAAAAAUGGGUAUAAAAAUUAUGUAUAAAAAUGGGUAUAAAAGAUGGGUACGUCACACGGCGAAGAUGGAAAAUUGGUUUUGCAGGUGUGUUAAUAUUGCGUCAUUUGAUUUUUUCAGGUAUGUACAGUACUGGAAGAAGAAGUAGAAGAAGAAAAAGAAGAAGCCUGUUUAGGAGGGAGAGUUGCACGGUGAAGAUGGAAGAAAUGGCGUGCAGGUGUGUUGAUAUUUUCAUUGUACUU
This is a long non-coding RNA of Ruditapes philippinarum (Manila clam), 1461 nucleotides long. RefSeq lists it as uncharacterized. Lineage: Eukaryota; Metazoa; Mollusca; Bivalvia; Venerida; Veneridae. The record is from RefSeq and is a predicted model, not a curated record. The transcript is spliced from 4 exons.